Molecule: ribosomal RNA, 393 nt
Filed under: uncultured Actinomycetes bacterium
Lineage: Bacteria; Bacillati; Actinomycetota; Actinomycetes
Description: bacterial SSU rRNA
Rfam family: Bacterial small subunit ribosomal RNA
Source: RNAcentral
CAAGGCUUGACAUAUAGGGAAAAGCGGCAGAGAUGUCGUGUCCGCAAGGGCUGUAUACAGGUGGUGCAUGGUUGUCGUCAGCUCGUGUCGUGAGAUGUUGGGUUAAGUCCCGCAACGAGCGCAACCCUCGUUCUGUGUUGCCAGCAUUUAGUUGGGGACUCACAGGAGACUGCCGGGGUUAACUCGGAGGAAGGUGGGGAUGACGUCAAAUCAUCAUGCCCCUUAUGUCUUGGGCUGCACGCAUGCUACAAUGGCCGAUACAAAGGGCUGCGAUACCGUAAGGUGGAGCGAAUCCCAAAAAGUCGGUCUCAGUUCGGAUUGAGGUCUGCAACUCGACCUCAUGAAGUCGGAGUUGCUAGUAAUCGUAGAUCAGCAACGCUACGGUGAAUACGU